RNAcentral lists this ribosomal RNA (490 nucleotides) under uncultured bacterium. RNAcentral's name for it is "partial 16S ribosomal RNA". It matches the Rfam family "Bacterial small subunit ribosomal RNA", at positions 30 to 507 of the family's 1533-position model. The record is from RNAcentral.
AUUGAACGCUGGCGGCAGGCCUAACACAUGCAAGUCGAACGGUAACAGGAAGAAGCUUGCUUCUUUGCUGACGAGUGGCGGACGGGUGAGUAAUGUCUGGGAAACUGCCUGAUGGAGGGGGAUAACUACUGGGAACGGUAGCUAAUACCGCAUAACGUCGCAAGACCAAAGAGGGGGACCUUCGGGCCUCUUGCCAUCGGAUGUGCCCAGAUGGGAUUAGCUAGUAGGUGGGGUAACGGCUCACCUAGGCGACGAUCCCUAGCUGGUCUGAGAGGAUGACCAGCCACACUGGAACUGAGACACGGUCCAGACUCCUACGGGAGGCAGCAGUGGGGAAUAUUGCACAAUGGGCGCAAGCCUGAUGCAGCCAUGCCGCGUGUAUGAAGAAGGCCUUCGGGUUGUAAAGUACUUUCAGCGGGGAGGAAGGGAGUAAAGUUAAUACCUUUGCUCAUUGACGUUACCCGCAGAAGAAGCACCGGCUAACUCCGUG